This 497-nucleotide ribosomal RNA is filed under the name uncultured bacterium. Its description in RNAcentral is "partial 16S ribosomal RNA". It matches the Rfam family "Bacterial small subunit ribosomal RNA", at positions 28 to 507 of the family's 1533-position model. The record is from RNAcentral.
GAUGAACGCUGGCGGCGUGCCUAAUACAUGCAAGUCGAGCGAACGGACGAGAAGCUUGCUUCUCUGAUGUUAGCGGCGGACGGGUGAGUAACACGUGGAUAACCUACCUAUAAGACUGGGAUAACUUCGGGAAACCGGAGCUAAUACCGGAUAAUAUUAUGAACCGCAUGGUUCAAAAGUGUAAGACGGUCUUGCUGUCACUUAUAGAUGGAUCCGCGCUGCAUUAGCUAGUUGGUAAGGUAACGGCUUACCAAGGCAACGAUGCAUAGCCGACCUGAGAGGGUGAUCGGCCACACUGGAACUGAGACACGGUCCAGACUCCUACGGGAGGCAGCAGUAGGGAAUCUUCCGCAAUGGGCGAAAGCCUGACGGAGCAACGCCGCGUGAGUGAUGAAGGUCUUCGGAUCGUAAAACUCUGUUAUUAGGGAAGAACAUAUGUGUAAGUAACUGUGCACAUCUUGACGGUACCUAAUCAGAAAGCCACGGCUAACUACGUG